ACGAACGCUGGCGGCGUGCUUAACACAUGCAAGUCGAACGGUAAGGCCCCUUCGGGGGUACACGAGUGGCGAACGGGUGAGUAACACGUGAGCAACCUGCCCUUGACUCUGGAAUAACAGCUGGAAACAGCUGCUAAUACCGGAUAUGACCGCAUGCGACAUCGCAUACGGUGGAAAGCCCUGGCGGUCAAGGAUGGGCUCGCGGCCUAUCAGCUAGUUGGUGAGGUAACGGCUCACCAAGGCUUCGACGGGUAGCCGGCCUGAGAGGGCGACCGGCCACACUGGGACUGAGAUACGGCCCAGACUCCUACGGGAGGCAGCAGUGGGGAAUAUUGCACAAUGGGCGAAAGCCUGAUGCAGCAACGCCGCGUGCGGGAUGACGGCCUUCGGGUUGUAAACCGCUUUCAGCUCCGACGAAGCGCAAGUGACGGUAGGAGCAGAAGAAGGACCGGCCAACUACGU
RNAcentral lists this ribosomal RNA (462 nucleotides) under uncultured bacterium. RNAcentral describes it as "bacterial SSU rRNA". It matches the Rfam family "Bacterial small subunit ribosomal RNA", at positions 29 to 506 of the family's 1533-position model. The record is from RNAcentral.